GGCAGACGGGAGAGUAACACGUGGGAACGUGCCCUUUGGUUCGGAACAACACAGGAAACUUGUGCUAAUACCGGAUAAGCCCUUACGGGGAAAGAUUUAUCGCCAAAGGAUCGGCCCGCGUCUGAUUAGCUUGUUGGUGAGGUAACGGCUCACCAAGGCGACGAUCAGUAGCUGGUCUGAGAGGAUGAUCAGCCUCACUGGGACUGAGACACGGCCCAGACUCCUACGGGAGGCAGCAGUGGGGAAUAUUGGACAAUGGGCGCAAGCCUGAUCCAGCCAUGCCGCGUGGAUGAUGAAGGCCCUAGGGUUGUAAAGUCCUUUCGNGCGGGGNAAGAUAAUGACGGUACCCGCAGAAGAAGCCCCGGCUAACUUCGUGCCAGCAGCCGCGG
Molecule: ribosomal RNA, 389 nt
Filed under: uncultured bacterium
Lineage: Bacteria
Description: bacterial SSU rRNA
Rfam family: Bacterial small subunit ribosomal RNA
Source: RNAcentral